This 558-nucleotide ribosomal RNA is filed under the name Colletotrichum gloeosporioides. RNAcentral's name for it is "partial large subunit ribosomal RNA". It matches the Rfam family "Eukaryotic large subunit ribosomal RNA", at positions 73 to 659 of the family's 3401-position model. Lineage: Eukaryota; Fungi; Ascomycota; Sordariomycetes; Glomerellales; Glomerellaceae. The record is from RNAcentral.
CAUGCCUCAGUACGGCGAGUGAGCGGCACAGCUCAAAUUUGAAAUCUGGCCCUAGGCCCGAGUUGUAAUUUGCAGAGGAUGCUUUUGGUGCGGUGCCUUCCAAGUUCCCUAGAACGGGACGCCAGAGAGGGUGAGAGCCCCGUACAGUUGGACACCAAGCCUUUGUAAAGCUCCUUCGACGAGUCGAGUAGUUUGGGAAUGCUGCUCAAAAUGGGAGGUAUAUUUCUUCUAAAGCUAAAUACCGGCCAGAGACCGAUAGCGCACAAGUAGAGUGAUCGAAAGAUGAAAAGCACUUUGAAAAGAGGGUUAAACAGCACGUGAAAUUGUUAAAAGGGAAGCGCUUGUGACCAGACUUGCGUCCGGUGAAUCACCCAGCUCUCGCGGCUGGGGCACUUCGCCGGCUCAGGCCAGCAUCAGCUCGCUGUCGGGGACAAAAGCUUCAGGAACGUAGCUCUCUUCGGGGAGUGUUAUAGCCUGUUGCAUAAUACCCUUCGGCGGGCUGAGGUACGCGCUCCGCAAGGAUGCUGGCAUAAUGGUCAUCAGCGACCCGUCUUGAAC